CGUACACUCCUGCGGGAGGCAGCAGUGGGGAAUAUUGCACAAUGGGCGCAAGCCUGAUGCAGCCAUGCCGCGUGUAUGAAGAAGGCCUUCGGGUUGUAAAGUACUUUCAGCGGGGAGGAAGGCGAUAAGGUUAAUAACCUUGUUGAUUGACGUUACCCGCAGAAGAAGCACCGGCUAACUCCGUGCCAGCAGCCGCGGUAAUACGGAGGGUGCAAGCGUUAAUCGGAAUUACUGGGCGUAAAGCGCACGCAGGCGGUCUGUCAAGUCGGAUGUGAAAUCCCCGGGCUCAACCUGGGAACUGCAUUCGAAACUGGCAGGCUAGAGUCUUGUAGAGGGGGGUAGAAUUCCAGGUGUAGCGGUGAAAUGCGUAGAGAUCUGGAGGAAUACCGGUGGCGAAGGCGGCCCCCUGGACAAAGACUGACGCUCAGGUGCGAAAGCGUGGGGAGCAAACAGGAUUAGAAACCCCAGUAGUCCCAUGA
This 479-nucleotide ribosomal RNA is filed under the name uncultured organism. Its description in RNAcentral is "partial 16S ribosomal RNA". It matches the Rfam family "Bacterial small subunit ribosomal RNA", at positions 330 to 800 of the family's 1533-position model. The record is from RNAcentral.